RNAcentral lists this small RNA (29 nucleotides) under Bombyx mori (domestic silkworm). Its description in RNAcentral is "ovarian small RNA-30008". Lineage: Eukaryota; Metazoa; Arthropoda; Insecta; Lepidoptera; Bombycidae. The record is from RNAcentral.
UCUGGUCACCUAGCACUCGUCGUAAAUGU